RNAcentral lists this long non-coding RNA (333 nucleotides) under Homo sapiens (human). RNAcentral's name for it is "non-protein coding lnc-ANKRD42-2:8". The record is from RNAcentral. Lineage: Eukaryota; Metazoa; Chordata; Mammalia; Primates; Hominidae.
ACUUUUCGUGAGGCGUCACAUCCUGCUGCUUCACCCUCUGGUGCACGGGAGGACCAACUAUUUCAGUCGAAGGUGCUCAGAGUAAUGCUCAUGAACACUUGUGGACCAGAGAUGAGCUGCCUUCCCAAAACGUAGAAUAAUGACUCCAAAGAUAUCCACAUCCUAAUCCCUGGGACCUAUGAAUAUGUUACCUUACAUGGUAAAAGGGAUUUUGCAGAUGUGAGUAAAUGAAGACUCUUGAUAUGAGGAGAUUACCUUGGAUUAUCCAUGUGGACCCGAGGAUAUCUAUGAGGGAAAGAGGGAUGCAGGAGAGUCAGAGUCGGAAAAAGGAAU